Molecule: unclassified non-coding RNA, 307 nt
Filed under: plant metagenome
Description: partial contains 5.8S ribosomal RNA, internal transcribed spacer 2, and large subunit ribosomal RNA
Rfam family: 5.8S ribosomal RNA (bases 1-105)
Source: RNAcentral
GAAAUGCGAUAAGUAAUGUGAAUUGCAGAAUUCAGUGAAUCAUCGAAUCUUUGAACGCACAUUGCGCCUAUUAGUAUUCUAGUAGGCAUGCCUGUUCGAGCGUCAUUUCAACCCUCAAGCCCCCGGGCUUGUGUUGGGGACCUGCGGCUGCCCGCAGGCCCUGAAAACCAGUGGCGGGCUCGCUGUCACACCGAGCGUAGUAGCAAUCACCUCGCUCAGGGCGUGCUGCGGGUUCCGGCCGUUAAACAGCCUUACAAAACCCAAGGUUGACCUCGGAUCAGGUAGGAAGACCCGCUGAACUUAAGCA